AGCCCCAAUUCAAGUCCAAGUCCAUAGUCCAUAUCCUUGUAGCCAAAAAGAAAAGAAUAAAACAUAAAAAAAAAGAGAAAAAGAAAGAAGAUGAGCGUGACUCAUCUUCAUCAUCUCCUUCUUCCUUCGUCCGGUUCUGGGCUCAAGAACCAAAAUUUUCAGCACCUCCUUCCUCCUCUUUCGUCCAGUUCAAGCUCACAAACCAAGAAAAUCUUCACCUCCCUCCUCUCCCUUCUCCUUCAUCUAAUACAAAGCACUCAAACCAAGAAAUUUUGCAAAGGCUACACCUCACCAUCCACCAUUGGAUGCUAACCGAAAAUUUCCUCUUAUAAAUACUGACUUCAUUCUCAUUUGAUUUCCCAAGCAAAACAACUCAAAAGACUCCGAUUUCUUAGACGAGGAAUACCAGGAGCGCUAAUACGUUCGUGAACUUAACUUUUGGGCACGCGUCACGAGAUGGCCAGGACACGUAUGACAGCCAGGCAAUGCACCAGAACAGCACGUCAAGGACCUUACCUUCUAAGGAUGAGGGCAGGAGAGUCGAUUUCAACUUACAUUUAUAAGUUAUGUUUAAUCAUGAAGUGUUAUCACCUUAAUGAAGGUCACGGGUAUUCGGAUCACCUCACGCCACCUAAGCAAGCCAAUGUCUUAAUUCACACUCUCCCUAACAACGACCCUUAUGCCGAAAUCAAGAACGAAUACUCUGACAUUCUAAAAAAUGGAAGGCCAAACUAUGAGCGCUACACAUGGAAAGGGAAGUGGUAUCUCACGUUGAGUUACCUGGAGAAAAGAAUGCUCGAUGCCAGAGCUAAGUGGCUUAAUGACUACGGAACCUCCGAUGACGAUGAACCCGACUACAGUAACAAUGAAAAAAUAGAAAGAAGCCCCGUCUCACUAGUUGAAAACCCUGGAGAAAAUGAAAACAAAGAUGAGGAAGAAGACCCGUCCGAGGAUGAAGAGUAAAACCUUCGACCUUUGCUAGCCUUAACCACUCGGAAUCUAAACCCGUAGUAGAUUUAUUAACGUUAGUGUUAACUUAUUUGCUUUGUGAUGCUAGUAUUUCUUAGUUAUGAAACCUAAGAUGACUCUUAUGUGAUGAAUGCAAUGUGCAUGAUACUCUUGGAGUGAAUGAAAUGAUGAAAUUUUGGUAUAUGACCUGAAUAUACUGUGUGCAAAAGUGAAUGAAUCAAAUGAGCUUUGAUUAUGCAUUUAUGUGAAUUAAGCCUUAUUUAAGGAUCAAUGUGAAUGGUGGGAACACCAAUGGGAAUAAUACAGAUAGCUUAUGCAAUACUUUUAUACACGAUCUAGAGUAAGGAGACAAGAAAACCAAAUGGCCGAAACUCCUGAACAAGUUGCAACACGACUUAGGACUCUCGAGCAACUAGCUCAAAACUUUGGCUUAGUUUUUCAAAACCAGCUCAACAACCACUAUGGAGAUGAUCCGCAAGCUGCAAUGGCGAAAAAGAUUUUCACCUUGAAACCACUAACCUUUGUUGGUAGAGAAAAUCCAUUACUUCUCGAAAAUUGGAUAAGAGACUUCGAAAAGAUUUUCACGGCCACGAGUACGCCUGAGGCCUAGAAAGUAGACCAAGCGACCUUUUACUUGCACGAGGACGCUGAUACUUGGUGGGAAAGUGCACCGGAGCCCAAAUUCAAGUCCAAGUCCAUAGUCCAUAUGCUCUGUAGCCAAAAAGAAAAAAAUUAAAACAAAAAAAAAGAGAAAGAAAGAAGAUGAGCGUGACUCAUCUUCAUCAUCUCCUUCUUCCUUCGUCCGGUUCUGGGCUCAAGAACCAAAAUUUUCAGCACCUCCUUCCUCCUCUUUCGUCCAAUUCAAGUUCACAAACCAAGAAAAUCUUAACCUCCCUCCUCUCCCUUCUCAUUCAUCUAAUACAAAGCACACAAACCAAGAAAUUUUGCAAAGGCUACACCUCACCAUCCACCAUUGGAUGCUAACCGAAAAUUUCCUCCUAUAAAUACUGACUUCAUUCUCAUUUGAUUUCCCAAGCAAAACAACUCAAAAGACUCCGAUUUCGUAGACGAGGAAUACAAGGAGCGCUAAUACGUUCGUGAACUUAACUUUUGGGAACGCGUCACGAGGUGGGUGAUCGAGCGGGGGAACAAAAGGGAGAUCAUUUAGAGUUGUCAUUCACUUAGCAUAUGAUUAGCUUCCGCUGGAACUCUAAACACUUAAUUAAUUAGUGAUGUUUAAUGAAUAAUUUACUUAGUUGUAAUGGUUAAUGAAUUUUAGUUGGUGUGUUGUAACUUAGCCUUGCAUUUAUUUCCAAGGAGAUAAUUGCGGCGGUAGCACCACCCGCCGAGUCGAACCCUCGUGGAUUUAUUUUCCCGCAAAACCCAAGUUUUAUCGAAUAAGGAAGGGUUCGGGUCGGCGGGGGUGUUACAGUUUCAACCAGAAAAAAAAUAUUUUUAAAACCCGACACCGCGACUCCGAUGACUUGGCCGGAGUCCGGCGCCGGUCUUCUUCUUCUUUCUUCUAUCUCUUUCUUCUUCUUUCUCUUUCUUCUUUCCUCUCUUUCUUCUGGUUCUCGUUUGUGCAGGUUGCAAAAGGAGCUUUGCUCCUUAAAUUGGUACACUUUUUGAUAUUUUUUUAAAACAAAAAAAAGGAAAAGUUGUACAUACAUGUGCAGCAAGUUCACGUGGGUUUGUGACUUGCUGUCACAUGAAAUUUUUUCACAAUUUUUUUUCUUUCAAUAUGUGAGUGUCACGUUUUUUUUUGUUUCAAGUAAAAGUUUUUUUAUUUCUUUUCAACCUUGGUUAUUUAGCUUUGUUAGUUACUACUAAUUUUGUAACCUUGGUUAAUUAUUUUCGGGAUAUUAUAUUAAGUGACUAACUUUAGGUAAUAUUAUUUGUUGUAGACGAAAAUUUCGUAGAAGGCGACGUUUAGUUGAUAUUGCUAUACUUGGGACGCGUUCGAGGUUGGUGAAAGGGACUACGUUGCAGGAAUGAGUGGAUUUUGUAGUUUUUAAGUUCACCUAGUUUAAUAAAUAUUAUAGUACUGUUAUUUGAGAUUGUUUAGUUUUGGUUUGGUUUAAAUUAGACAACUUAGUUUGGUUUA
Long non-coding RNA from Beta vulgaris subsp. vulgaris (sugar beet), 3073 nucleotides. RefSeq lists it as uncharacterized. The record is from RefSeq and is a predicted model, not a curated record. Lineage: Eukaryota; Viridiplantae; Streptophyta; Magnoliopsida; Caryophyllales; Amaranthaceae. The transcript is spliced from 6 exons.